Molecule: ribosomal RNA, 427 nt
Filed under: uncultured bacterium
Lineage: Bacteria
Also listed under: 1 other name
Description: bacterial SSU rRNA
Rfam family: Bacterial small subunit ribosomal RNA
Source: RNAcentral
UGGGGAAUAUUGGACAAUGGGGGGAACCCUGAUCCAGCCAUGCCGCGUGUGUGAAGAAGGCCCUCGGGUUGUAAAGCACUUUCAGUGAGGAAGAACGCCUGGUGGUUAAUACCCAUCAGGAAAGACAUCACUCACAGAAGAAGCACCGGCUAACUCCGUGCCAGCAGCCGCGGUAAUACGGAGGGUGCGAGCGUUAAUCGGAAUUACUGGGCGUAAAGCGCGCGUAGGUGGCUUGAUAAGCCGGUUGUGAAAGCCCCGGGCUCAACCUGGGAACGGCAUCCGGAACUGUCAAGCUAGAGUGCAGGAGAGGAAGGUAGAAUUCCCGGUGUAGCGGUGAAAUGCGUAGAGAUCGGGAGGAAUACCAGUGGCGAAGGCGGCCUUCUGGACUGACACUGACACUGAGGUGCGAAAGCGUGGGUAGCAAACA